Molecule: ribosomal RNA, 395 nt
Filed under: uncultured bacterium
Lineage: Bacteria
Description: bacterial SSU rRNA
Rfam family: Bacterial small subunit ribosomal RNA
Source: RNAcentral
GACGAACGCUGGCGGCGUGCUUAACGCAUGCAAGUCGAGCGGUAAGGCCCUUUCGGGGGUACACGAGCGGCGAACGGGUGAGUAACACGUGGGUGACCUGCCCUCAGCUCUGGGAUAAGCCUGGGAAACCGGGUCUAAUACCGGAUAUGACUCCAUGACGCAUGUUGUGGGGUGGAAAGCCUUGUGCGGCUGAGGAUGGGCCCGCGGCCUAUCAGCUUGUUGGUGGGGUGAUGGCCUACCAAGGCGACGACGGGUAGCCGGCCUGAGAGGGCGACCGGCCACACUGGGGGCUGAGACACGGCCCAGACUCCUACGGGAGGCAGCAGUGGGGGAAUCUUGCGCAAAUGGGGCGAAAGCCUGACGCAGCGACGCCGCGUGAGGGAUGACGGCCUGGU